AAUGAACGCUGGCGGCAUGCCUAGCACAUGCAAGUCGAACGAAGGCUUCGGCCUUAGUGGCGCACGGGUGCGUAACGCGUGGGAAUCUGCCCUUGGGUUCGGAAUAACAGUUAGAAAUGACUGCUAAUACCGGAUGAUGUCGUAAGACCAAAGAUUUAUCGCCCAAGGAUGAGCCCGCGUAGGAUUAGCUAGUUGGUGGGGUAAAGGCCUACCAAGGCGACGAUCCUUAGCUGGUCUGAGAGGAUGAUCAGCCACACUGGGACUGAGACACGGCCCAGACUCCUACGGGAGGCAGCAGUGGGGAAUAUUGGACAAUGGGCGAAAGCCUGAUCCAGCAAUGCCGCGUGAGUGAUGAAGGCCUUAGGGUUGUAAAGCUCUUUUACCCGGGAUGAUAAUGACAGUACCGGGAGAAUAAGCUCCGGCUAACUUCGUG
Molecule: ribosomal RNA, 433 nt
Filed under: uncultured bacterium
Lineage: Bacteria
Description: partial 16S ribosomal RNA
Rfam family: Bacterial small subunit ribosomal RNA
Source: RNAcentral